RNAcentral lists this ribosomal RNA (465 nucleotides) under uncultured bacterium. RNAcentral describes it as "bacterial SSU rRNA". It matches the Rfam family "Bacterial small subunit ribosomal RNA", at positions 338 to 795 of the family's 1533-position model. The record is from RNAcentral.
CCUACGGGGGGCAGCAGUAGGGAAUCUUCCGCAAUGGACGAAAGUCUGACGGAGCAACGCCGCGUGAGCGACGAAGGGCGUCGGAUCGUAACGCUCUGUUGUUAGGGAAGAACAAGUACGGGAGGAAAUGACCGUACCUUGACGGUACCUAACGAGGAAGCCACGGCUAACUACGUGCCAGCAGCCGCGGUAAUACGUAGGUGGCAAGCGUUGCCCGGAAUUAUUGGGCGUAAAGCGCGGGCAGGCGGUCUUUUAAGUCGGAUGUGAAAUCUUGCGGCUCAACCGCAAGCGGUCAUUGUAAACUGGGGGACUUGAGUGCAGAAGAGGAAAGCGGAGGUCCACGUGUAGCGGUGAAAUGCGUAGAGAUGUGGAGGAACACCAGUAGCGAAGGCGGCUUUCUGGUCUGUAACUGACGCUGAGGCGCGAAAGCGGGGGGAGCAAACAGGAUUAGAUACCCUAGUAGUC